Molecule: ribosomal RNA, 132 nt
Filed under: Triticum aestivum (bread wheat)
Lineage: Eukaryota; Viridiplantae; Streptophyta; Magnoliopsida; Poales; Poaceae
Description: partial small subunit ribosomal RNA
Source: RNAcentral
AUGGAAAGAACAACUUUACUCGCCAUCUCCAUAUCUGGUUAACUUGUAAGCUUUACUGGGUAUGCCUUAUAUACUGCGUUUGAGCAACCCUCUCAAAAAUUAAGAGAUCCAUUCGAAGAACACAAAAACUAA